This 1491-nucleotide ribosomal RNA is filed under the name metagenome. RNAcentral's name for it is "bacterial SSU rRNA". It matches the Rfam family "Bacterial small subunit ribosomal RNA". The record is from RNAcentral.
AGAGUUUGAUCAUGGCUCAGAUUGAACGCUGGCGGCAUGCCUUACACAUGCAAGUCGAACGGCAGCACGAGAGCUUGCUCUUGGUGGCGAGUGGCGAACGGGUGAGUAAUAUAUCGGAACGUACCCUAGAGUGGGGGAUAACGUAGCGAAAGUUACGCUAAUACCGCAUACGAUCUACGGAUGAAAGUGGGGGAUCGCAAGACCUCAUGCUCAUGGAGCGGCCGAUAUCUGAUUAGCUAGUUGGUGGGGUAAAAGCUCACCAAGGCGACGAUCAGUAGCUGGUCUGAGAGGACGACCAGCCACACUGGAACUGAGACACGGUCCAGACUCCUACGGGAGGCAGCAGUGGGGAAUUUUGGACAAUGGGCGCAAGCCUGAUCCAGCAAUGCCGCGUGAGUGAAGAAGGCCUUCGGGUUGUAAAGCUCUUUUGUCAGGGAAGAAACGGUGGACUCUAAUACAGAUCACUAAUGACGGUACCUGAAGAAUAAGCACCGGCUAACUACGUGCCAGCAGCCGCGGUAAUACGUAGGGUGCAAGCGUUAAUCGGAAUUACUGGGCGUAAAGCGUGCGCAGGCGGUUGUGCAAGACAGAUGUGAAAUCCCCGGGCUCAACCUGGGAAUUGCAUUUGUGACUGCACGGCUAGAGUGUGUCAGAGGGGGGUAGAAUUCCACGUGUAGCAGUGAAAUGCGUAGAGAUGUGGAGGAAUACCGAUGGCGAAGGCAGCCCCCUGGGAUAACACUGACGCUCAUGCACGAAAGCGUAGGGAGCAAACAGGAUUAGAUACCCUGGUAGUCCACGCCCUAAACGAUGUCUACUAGUUGUCGGGUCUUAAUUGACUUGGUAACGCAGCUAACGCGUGAAGUAGACCGCCUGGGGAGUACGGUCGCAAGAUUAAAACUCAAAGGAAUUGACGGGGACCCGCACAAGCGGUGGAUGAUGUGGAUUAAUUCGAUGCAACGCGAAAAACCUUACCUACCCUUGACAUGUCUGGAAUCCUUGAGAGAUCAGGGAGUGCUCGAAAGAGAAUCAGAACACAGGUGCUGCAUGGCUGUCGUCAGCUCGUGUCGUGAGAUGUUGGGUUAAGUCCCGCAACGAGCGCAACCCUUGUCAUUAGUUGCUACGAAAGGGCACUCUAAUGAGACUGCCGGUGACAAACCGGAGGAAGGUGGGGAUGACGUCAAGUCCUCAUGGCCCUUAUGGGUAGGGCUUCACACGUCAUACAAUGGUACAUACAGAGGGCCGCCAACCCGCGAGGGGGAGCUAAUCCCAGAAAGUGUAUCGUAGUCCGGAUUGUAGUCUGCAACUCGACUACAUGAAGUUGGAAUCGCUAGUAAUCGCGGAUCAGCAUGUCGCGGUGAAUACGUUCCCGGGUCUUGUACACACCGCCCGUCACACCAUGGGAGCGGGUUUCACCAGAAGUGGGUAGCCUAACCGCAAGGAGGGCGCUCACCACGGUGGGAUUCGUGACUGGGGUGAAGUCGUAACAAGGUA